RNAcentral lists this ribosomal RNA (116 nucleotides) under Pteropus alecto (black flying fox). The record is from RNAcentral. RNAcentral also lists the same sequence under 1 other name. Lineage: Eukaryota; Metazoa; Chordata; Mammalia; Chiroptera; Pteropodidae.
GUCUAUGGCCAUUCCACCCUGAACAAGCCUAAUGUCUUAUCUUGGAAGCUAAGCAGAGUCGGGCCUGGUUAGUACUUAGAUGGGAGACCACAUGGGAAGACCAGGUGCUAUAGACA